UACAGAGGGUGCAAGCGUUGUUCGGAAUUACUGGGCGUAAAGGGCUCGUAGGUGGCCAACUAAGUCAGACGUGAAAUCCCUCGGCUUAACCGGGGAACUGCGUCUGAUACUGGAUGGCUUGAGUUUGGGAGAGGGACGCGGAAUUCCAGGUGUAGUGGUGAAAUGCGUAGAUAUCGGGAGGAACACCAGUGGCGAAGGCGGCUUUCUGGCCUGUUCUUGACGCUGAGGCGCGAAAGCUAGGGGAGCAAACGGG
This 253-nucleotide ribosomal RNA is filed under the name uncultured bacterium. RNAcentral's name for it is "partial 16S ribosomal RNA". It matches the Rfam family "Bacterial small subunit ribosomal RNA", at positions 524 to 776 of the family's 1533-position model. The record is from RNAcentral.